AAAAUUUCUUGCCAGGAGAG
This 20-nucleotide microRNA is filed under the name Ciona intestinalis (vase tunicate). RNAcentral's name for it is "cin-miR-4146-3p". Lineage: Eukaryota; Metazoa; Chordata; Ascidiacea; Phlebobranchia; Cionidae. The record is from miRBase by way of RNAcentral.